RNAcentral lists this ribosomal RNA (207 nucleotides) under uncultured bacterium. Its description in RNAcentral is "partial 16S ribosomal RNA". It matches the Rfam family "Bacterial small subunit ribosomal RNA", at positions 568 to 774 of the family's 1533-position model. The record is from RNAcentral.
CAUGUAGGCGGCCAUGUAAGUCGAUUGUGAAAUCCCGAGGCUCAACUUCGGAACUGCAGUCGAUACUGCAUGGCUUGAGGAAGGUAGAGGAGAGUGGAAUUCCCGGUGUAGCGGUGGAAUGCGCAGAUAUCGGGAGGAACACCAAUGGCGAAGGCAGCUCUCUGGGCCUCUCCUGACGCUGAGAUGCGAAAGCGUGGGUAGCGAACA